GGGUCCGUAGCUCAACGGCAGAGCAGUGGCCUUUUAAGCCAUCGGUUCAGGGUUCGAAUCCCUGCGGACCCACCA
This 75-nucleotide transfer RNA is filed under the name Dehalococcoidia bacterium. RNAcentral's name for it is "tRNA-Lys". It matches the Rfam family "tRNA". Rfam says of the family: Transfer RNA (tRNA) molecules are approximately 80 nucleotides in length. Their secondary structure includes four short double-helical elements and three loops (D, anti-codon, and T loops). Lineage: Bacteria; Bacillati; Chloroflexota; Dehalococcoidia. The record is from RNAcentral.